GACGAACGCUGGCGGCGUGCUUAACACAUGCAAGUCGAACGGUGAAGCGAGUGCUUGCACUCGUGGAUCAGUGGCGAAUGGGUGAGUAACACGUGAGUAACCUGCCCAUCACUCUGGGAUAAGCACUGGAAACGGUGUCUAAUACUGGAUACGACCAACCCUUGCAUGGGGUGUUGGUGGAAAGAUUUAUCGGUGAUGGAUGGACUCGCGGCCUAUCAGCCUGUUGGCGGGGUAAUGGCCCACCAAGGCGACGACGGGUAGCCGGCCUGAGAGGGUGACCGGCCACACUGGGACUGAGACACGGCCCAGACUCCUACGGGAGGCAGCAGUGGGGAAUAUUGCACAAUGGGCGAAAGCCUGAUGCAGCGACGCCGCGUGAGGGAUGACGGCCUUCGGGUUGUAAACCUCUUUCAGCAGGGAAGAAGCGAAAGUGACGGUACCUGCAGAAGAAGCACCGGCUAACUACGUG
This 469-nucleotide ribosomal RNA is filed under the name uncultured bacterium. RNAcentral describes it as "partial 16S ribosomal RNA". It matches the Rfam family "Bacterial small subunit ribosomal RNA", at positions 28 to 507 of the family's 1533-position model. The record is from RNAcentral.